GGAAUCUUCCACAAUGGACGCAAGUCUGAUGGAGCAACGCCGCGUGAGUGAAGAAGGGUUUCGGCUCGUAAAGCUCUGUUGUUGGAGAAGAACAGGGACUAGAGUAACUGUUAGUCCUUUGACGGUAUCCAACCAGAAAGCCACGGCUAACUACGUGCCAGCAGCCGCGGUAAUACGUAGGUGGCAAGCGUUGUCCGGAUUUAUUGGGCGUAAAGCGAGCGCAGGCGGUUUUUUAAGUCUGAUGUGAAAGCCUUCGGCUUAACCGAAGAAGUGCAUUGGAAACUGGGAGACUUGAGUGCAGAAGAGGACAGUGGAACUCCAUGUGUAGCGGUGAAAUGCGUAGAUAUAUGGAAGAACACCAGUGGCGAAGGCGGCUGUCUGGUCUGCAACUGACGCUGAGGCUCGAAAGCAUGGGUAGCGAACA
This 424-nucleotide ribosomal RNA is filed under the name uncultured Lactobacillus sp. RNAcentral's name for it is "bacterial SSU rRNA". It matches the Rfam family "Bacterial small subunit ribosomal RNA", at positions 358 to 774 of the family's 1533-position model. The record is from RNAcentral. Lineage: Bacteria; Bacillati; Bacillota; Bacilli; Lactobacillales; Lactobacillaceae.